This is a long non-coding RNA of Photinus pyralis (common eastern firefly), 667 nucleotides long. RefSeq lists it as uncharacterized. NCBI's taxonomy places the organism in Eukaryota, Metazoa, Arthropoda, Insecta, Coleoptera, Lampyridae. The record is from RefSeq and is a predicted model, not a curated record. The transcript has 3 exons.
CCAGUUUUUUUAAGUAAACUGAUUUUUCCCGUGAUCAGACUAUGAAGAAGUAUUCCAGCCAGUUCUUUCGGUAGCAAGUUGAGUAGCUUCGAAAUUACCUACACUACAUUUAGUAUUUCAAGAAAAUCAGCUGAAAGGUUUUUAAAGGAAGGUAAGUAAUUAGGUACAUCACCGUUCGUGUUUGUUUGCUUAGAAUCGUUUUAGUUCAAAGAAAUUUCACUCUGAUGAGAUAUUUGGUUAAUAAGCGAACAGUGCGGACAAUUGGUUUUAAAGAGCGUAAAUGGCCUAAUGGGCCUACUUACUAAUUUUUUCGAUUGUUCGUAGCGCCACAGAUACUCGAUCUUCAAGACUCGAUGUCCACCUCUGGUCAACACCCCACUUCUAUGAUGGACUACAUCCGGUUCGGCCUUGGUUCUGUUGGAUACGGUUCAGGCGAGUGAGUUACCCCCAACUUACGAUGCCUGUUUGCCAGUAAUCUGCGAACGUGAACGAGUACCGGUAGCAACGUGUCGUCUUUCCCUUGGUCGUGAUCCUUCCUAGGCGAGACUGAAUGAAUAAAGCUCAAGGUAAUUGGUAAUGGAGGUAUCGCGUACGUAGACGUUAUCAACUCCUUUUGCCAUCAGUUUGGGAACUUCGACUGCGAUUCAUCUUUGGUGUUCCUUCCAGG